Molecule: ribosomal RNA, 171 nt
Filed under: uncultured Chloroflexota bacterium
Lineage: Bacteria; Bacillati; Chloroflexota
Description: uncultured Chloroflexi bacterium partial 16S ribosomal RNA
Rfam family: Bacterial small subunit ribosomal RNA
Source: RNAcentral
UCCUACGGGAGGCAGCAGCAAGGAAUAUUGCCCAAUGGACGAAAGUCUGAGGCAGCAACGCCGCGUGAAGGAUGAAGGCCUUCGGGUUGUAAACUUCUUUUUUAGAGGAAGAGAAAGGACGGUACUCUAAGAAUAAGUCUCGGCUAACUACGUGCCAGCAGCCGCGGUAAU